RNAcentral lists this ribosomal RNA (871 nucleotides) under uncultured bacterium. Its description in RNAcentral is "bacterial SSU rRNA". It matches the Rfam family "Bacterial small subunit ribosomal RNA", at positions 28 to 896 of the family's 1533-position model. The record is from RNAcentral.
GACGAACGCUGGCGGCGUGCUUUAUACAUGCAAGUCGAACGAUGAAGUUCCUUCGGGAAUGGAUUAGUGGCGAACGGGUGAGGAACACGUGGGCAACCUGCCCCAGACUCUGGGAUAACUUCUCGAAAGAGACGCUAAUACCGGAUACGAACUCUGUAGGCAUCUACGGAGUUGGAAAGUUUUUCGGUCUGGGAUGGGCCCGCGGCCUAUCAGCUAGUUGGUGAGGUAGUGGCUCACCAAGGCGACGACGGGUAGCCGGCCUGAGAGGGUGGUCGGCCGCACUGGGACUGAGACACUGCCCAGACUCCUACGGGAGGCUGCAGUCGAGAAUCUUCCGCAAUGGGCGCAAGCCUGACGGAGCGACGCCGCGUGGAGGACGAAGGCCCUCGGGUUGUAAACUCCUGUCACGGGUUAUGAACGCCGUAGUGUUAAUAGCGCUACGGUUGACGUAAGCCCGAGAGGAAGCACUGGCUAACUCUGUGCCAGCAGCCGCGGUAAUACAGAGAGUGCAAACGUUGUUCGGAAUUACUGGGCUUAAAGCGCACGUAGGCGGCGAAGUAAGUGUGAGGUGAAAGCCCACGGCUCACCCGUGGAAUUGCCUUGCAUACUGCUUUGCUAGAGUAUGGUAGGGGAGAGCGGAACUCCUGGUGGAGCGGUGAAAUGCGUAGAUAUCAGGAGGAACACCGGUGGCGAAGGCGGCUCUCUGGUCCAUAACUGACGCUGAGGUGCGAAAGCUAGGGUAGCAAACGGGAUUAGAUACCCCGGUAGUCCUAGCCGUAAACGAUGGGUACUAGCUUGGGGUCUCCCUGUGUGAUCCCAGGUGAAGCAAAAGUGAUAAGUACCCCGCCUGGGGAGUAUGGUCGCAAGGCUG